UUCCCGAAUGCAGGAGAGUGCUACACCGUAUUACACGGCAAGCCACCGAAGGCGCAGACACCCUUAAAUCGCUCAGGUAAAAGGACUGCAUUUCAUCA
RNAcentral lists this non-coding RNA (98 nucleotides) under Neisseria weaveri. RNAcentral's name for it is "Glycine sequence". It matches the Rfam family "Glycine riboswitch aptamer". Rfam says of the family: This family represents the bacterial glycine riboswitch. Lineage: Bacteria; Pseudomonadati; Pseudomonadota; Betaproteobacteria; Neisseriales; Neisseriaceae. The record is from Rfam by way of RNAcentral.